ACAUAUAUAGAUGAGAAAAAUAAUAAAAGAUAUGAUAAGAUUCAUGCUUUGUAAAUGUGCUAUUCUCAUAAAAAAUAUUCAUAGAAUCACUUUUCAUAAAAAAGCAUGACUUUUCAUAUCAUGUUGAUCCAAGGAUUGAUUUAUGAUAAAUACAAUAUAUUUGAGUAUUUAUUUUGGUACUAAUGAGUUGUUGAUAUUUAUAUUAAGAAUAUUUUAGAAAGCUAAAGUCAUUCCUACAAAAUAUUUCAUGAAUGCCAAA
This 259-nucleotide long non-coding RNA is filed under the name Elaeis guineensis (African oil palm). RNAcentral describes it as "long non-coding RNA (EGUI_LNC012745)". The record is from RNAcentral. Lineage: Eukaryota; Viridiplantae; Streptophyta; Magnoliopsida; Arecales; Arecaceae.